This 492-nucleotide ribosomal RNA is filed under the name uncultured bacterium. Its description in RNAcentral is "partial 16S ribosomal RNA". It matches the Rfam family "Bacterial small subunit ribosomal RNA", at positions 29 to 507 of the family's 1533-position model. The record is from RNAcentral.
AGUGAACGCUGGCGGUAGGCCUAACACAUGCCAGUCGAACGGCAGCACAGUAAGAGCUUGCUCUUACGGGUGGCGAGUGGCGGACGGGUGAGGAAUACAUCGGAAUCUACUUUUUCGUGGGGGAUAACGUAGGGAAACUUACGCUAAUACCGCAUACGACCUACGGGUGAAAGCAGGGGAUCUUCGGACCUUGCGCGAUUGACUGAGCCGAGUUCGGAUUAGCUAGUUGGCGGGGUAAAGGCCCACCAAGGCGACGAUCUGUAGCUGGUCGGAGAGGAUGAUCGGCCACACUGGAACUGGAACACGGUCCAGACUCCUACGGGAGGCAGCAGUGGGGAAUAUUGGACAUUGGGCGCAGGCCUGAUCCAGCCAUACCGCGUGGGUGAGGAAGGCCUUCGGGUUGUAAAGCCCUUUUGUUGGGAAGGAAGAGCAGCAGGUUAAUACCCCGCUGUUCUGACGGUACCCAAAGAAUAAGCACCGGCUAACUUCGUG